This 253-nucleotide ribosomal RNA is filed under the name uncultured bacterium. RNAcentral's name for it is "partial 16S ribosomal RNA". It matches the Rfam family "Bacterial small subunit ribosomal RNA", at positions 524 to 776 of the family's 1533-position model. The record is from RNAcentral.
UACAGAGGUCCCAAGCGUUAGGCGGAAUCACUGGGCUUAAAGCGUGUGUAGGUGGAUUUGUAAGUACCUUGUGAAAUCCCAUGGCUCAACCAUGGAACUGCUCGGUAUACUGCGAAUCUUGAGCCACUUAGGGGCUACCGGAACAAAUGGUGGAGCGGUGAAAUGCGUAGAUAUCAUUUGGAACGCCAAUGGUGAAAACAGGUAGCUGGGAGUGUGCUGACACUGAGACACGAAAGCCAGGGGAGCGAACGGG